AAGAGUCACAUGCUCGCUUAGGUAAUCAAUGAUACAGAGAAGAUUAGCGUGGGCCCAGCACAAGAAUGAAAUGCAAAUUCAUGAUGUGUUCCAUAUUGGG
This is a small nuclear RNA of Dipodomys ordii (Ord's kangaroo rat), 100 nucleotides long. The record is from Ensembl. NCBI's taxonomy places the organism in Eukaryota, Metazoa, Chordata, Mammalia, Rodentia, Heteromyidae.